AUUGUAGACACUGCUGUGUUCCUGCACCUGUUUCAGUUAUCAGAGUCUCCUAAAAAGCUUCACAACCUACCACUGUCCACACAGGCUUUCUGGUUCCCAUGUUGCAAGGCUGAAAAUAGAGUCCGAGAAAACGGUGAUCUCGGAAGUAUGGAAGGUGUUGACCUCAAGGCAGCUGAAAGGCUUGGUAUUCACAAAUGGAAGAAGAAUCAAACCCAGAGAAAGAAAGCAAAUGAUGUGAGAAAGAAUCUGGAGAAGAGAGAUGCACUUGGCACCAAGGUGAAAUGGACCAUCUGACUCUCUUGUUCUCAAUGUAUAUAAGUCAGAACCAUAAGAGAGGCUGAGAAGAGAUAAACAUGCUUCCCUAAAGAAGAAUCCUGCAACAACAAAAACAAUAAAAAUAGCUGAUCACACA
Molecule: long non-coding RNA, 412 nt
Filed under: Sus scrofa (pig)
Lineage: Eukaryota; Metazoa; Chordata; Mammalia; Artiodactyla; Suidae
Description: lncRNA (ENSSSCG00070029160.1)
Source: RNAcentral